This 621-nucleotide long non-coding RNA is filed under the name Eutrema salsugineum. Its description in RNAcentral is "long non-coding RNA (ESAL_LNC001062)". Lineage: Eukaryota; Viridiplantae; Streptophyta; Magnoliopsida; Brassicales; Brassicaceae. The record is from RNAcentral.
UAACCACUCUAGUCUCUCUAUCUUUUUGAAUCGUAAACCGAGAUUGAUGCUCGUUAAACCAAAUCCACCAAAUCAAAUUGGAUUCAGUUUCUGUGAUUACUGUUCCCAGAGUUUACUGUGCGGUUCAACAUUUUAGAUUACUUUUAACCAUACAGAAUCUAAUUAAAUUACUGUGAAGAUACAAUUGAAACAAAUUAAAGCCUGAGUAGAUUGGAAACAUGCACACAUAAAAACACUUAAACCGAUGUAGUAAACCGGGAAAACCAACUACAUUGUAUAAUAUAAGCUCUGGAAUUAAACGGUGUGUGUGGGUUUAGGUGUCCGGAAUGUGACGGAGCAGGAUUUGUGAGGAAGCAGGGAGCUACUUUGAGGGCGAACGCGGCACGCAAGGAUCAAGCUCAGAUCGUUUGCUCUAACUGCAAUGGUCUCGGAAAGCUUAACCAGAUCGAUAAAUAACUCUCUCUCUUUUUUUCUCUCUUCAUAAUAAUAAUAUGUAAAAAACAACACUUCACCUUUACUCUUCUUCUUCUUCUUCUUCUUCUUCUUCUCUGCAAUAUACUCUGCAAGUCUUCUUCCUGAAACCAUAAGAGAAUAUUCUAUCCGCGAUAGCUUGGAAUGAUU